CCUACGGGUGGCAGCAGUGGGGAAUAUUGCGCAAUGGGCGAAAGCCUGACGCAGCGACGCCGCGUGAGGGAUGAAGGUCUUCGGAUCGUAAACCUCUGUCAGCAGGGAAGAACGGUCACUGUGCUAAUCAGCAGUGAAUUGACGGUACCUGCAAAGGAAGCACCGGCUAACUCCGUGCCAGCAGCCGCGGUAAUACGGAGGGUGCGAGCGUUAAUCGGAAUUACUGGGCGUAAAGCGAUCGUAGGCGGUAUGUCAAGUCAGGGGUGAAAUCCCCGGGCUCAACGUGGGAACUGCCUGUGAAACUGGCAGACUGGAGUGUGUGAGAGGAUAGUGGAAUUCCAGGUGUAGGAGUGAAAUCCGUAGAUAUCUGGAGGAACAUCAGUGGCGAAGGCGACUAUCUGGCACAUAACUGACGCUGAGGAGCGAAAGCGUGGGUAGCAAACAGGAUUAGAUACCCCAGUAGUC
This 465-nucleotide ribosomal RNA is filed under the name uncultured bacterium. Its description in RNAcentral is "partial 16S ribosomal RNA". It matches the Rfam family "Bacterial small subunit ribosomal RNA", at positions 338 to 795 of the family's 1533-position model. The record is from RNAcentral.